This 3816-nucleotide long non-coding RNA is filed under the name Homo sapiens (human). Its description in RNAcentral is "non-protein coding lnc-SWT1-1:10". The record is from RNAcentral. Lineage: Eukaryota; Metazoa; Chordata; Mammalia; Primates; Hominidae.
GCACAAUAGCCUGAGAGAUCAGACGUGGGAGAUUAGAUUGCUCGGCGUCAGACCUACUUCUAGGCAACCCCCCCUAGACUGGAGCUGCUCGUCGUGGACAUUAGGAUCUAGUUGGGCAUGAGCCCUUAACUUAAGGGUCGGGGGGGAAGUGGCGGGUGCGGAGAGGAGGCGUGGAGAGUGUGAGGAAGAAGAGAGGCACUCUGAGAAGAAGUCGAACAACUAACCCCUCAUUUGGCCUGGUUUGGGUGAGAAGAUUGAGUCACUUGGGGAAAAAAAUAUUGGAGAAGUCAGAGAAGGUGUAAAUCAGUGGUGCCACAAACACCAGUUUACUUCCACUUUUCACCCCCCGGGUCUGUUUUGUCUGCGUGCAGCUCUCCUCGUGUCGGAGACGCUGAGUCAGUUCUCUACUGGUCUUGCCCUCUUCCGGAAAAAGAAAACACACCUGAGAAGUGGUAGUUCCUAUCCUAACCUACUGGGGCCCUUUAUACCAGGUGCCAAACUUCAUUAUCCACCCCACCACCUUGCCCGGGAGGGAGAUCUGUGAAAGCGAAACGUGAUUUAAGCUGGGAUCUGGCAGCAACUUCGUGGACUCUGAAGGGCACGUGGGAAAGGAGUUUUGAUUGAAGAAACCAAUGGCUGCAUUAAAUGAGUCUAUAGAAGAUUUUUCAUCUCUGGACAUGUCUAAUUGCAGAGCUCUAAUUGGAGGAACGUGUGGCAGUAUCUGAAAGGAGAAAAUAGGGUCUUGUUCUGUCACCUAGGCUGGAGUGGCAUGAUCAUGGCUCACUGCAACUUCUGCCUCCCUGGCUCCCAGCCUCAAGUGAUCCUCCCACUCCAGUCCCCUGAAGCAACUGGGACCACAGAGUAAUUUUAUGCUGAUUGAAGAAAAGAAGUAAACAGAGUUCCAGAAAGCAACUGCAAAUACUCAUUUUGAAAAAGAAAACAAAACAAAAACAAGGGAGACAUUUUAAAAGGUGCUAAAGCAACAGGACCAGUUGCCAGAGAGCUUAUUUUACCUCCCCAAAACAAGAUUGGUGUUUCAUCCUUGAGUUUAGUACACAGGAUUGUUCUUAUUCUUCUGCAGAUAGAGAGGUGCACUGCUUUAUGCUGCAAGUUGUCUAUAAGACAAGUUUUGUGAGUAUCAAAUAUUUGUAAGCAAAUCAAAUUUCUCCCCCAGUUGAAAUGAUUAUUUCAGAAGAAUUUCUUCUUUGUUUUGAAUUGGACUUCUGAGUUGGACUUCUCAGCAUGAUAAAGAAGAAAGAGCAUUAGAAUAAGAAAGAAGAUUAAGCUUCUUGUUUUGAUUAUGCCCAUAAUCAGCUGUGGGACCCCGGGCUAAUGCACUCCAAAAUCCCACUGUUCUGUGACCUUGCUAUGUGGGGCAUCAGCCUCCUCAUCUCUAAUAUUUUGGAUUUAAGUUAGUUGAUUUUUAUGGUCCCGCAAUGGAAUUCUUUAAACAACUCCACUAAUCCAUGAUACUGUUGCUUUAAAAAUCUUGGUUUUAGCUUUCCUCUAAGGAAUUUAUAGUGACAAUUAUCUACUUUUUUUUUCUUAAAUAAAAAUAGAGGUGGGGUUUUGCCAUGUUGCCCAGGCUGGUCUCAAACUCUUGGGCUCAAGUGAUCUGCCCACCUUGGCCUCCUAAAGUGCUGGGAUGACAGGUGUGAGCCACUGUACCCGGCCAGACCAUAUGUCUCUAGCAUUUUGAUAACAUUCUCUACAAUCUGGGCCCUGUAUAACUCCCCAGUCUUCAGACUACUACUCUCUAUGCUCACAUCUUUGGCGAUUUUAUACUCUUUGCCAAUUUAGAUGCCAUUUGUUUUUUCGUUUCCAGUAGAUUAGUAUGUCCAACCCAGAUUUUGGUAAACCCUAGACUCAUUCUACAGUCUGUGACAUCUCCAUUUGGAUUUCUUAUUGGCAUCUCAGACUCCAUAUGUCUAACCUGGAAUGCCUGAUCUCCAUUGCCUCCUAAACCGGCUUCUCUCACGGCUCUCCCAUCUCGGGGCCCAGCAUCUCAGACCUUUGCCUUGCUUACACCAGACAUUUUGUUGUUAUCUGUACCACCUCCUUCUCGUGCAGUCUACUUGAUGCCACCUAAUUGGUAUCCCUGGCUUCUGCCCUUGUUCUCUUAACGAAUCAUUUUCCAAACAGCAGCCAGAGUGAUCCUUUCAAAAAUGGAUUCAGAAAUCAUGUCACUGCUCUGCCCAAAGUUCCCAAAUGACUUCCCAGUCACUCAGAGCACAAGCUGACGCUCGACACAUCUGGGCCCCGUAAGAUUUUCAUUUCUGCUCCUCCUCCUUUUGCUCACUCUGCCCCUGCCACAUUGGUCUCCUGCUUUCCCGGAACUUGCCCAACAUGUUCCUCCCUCAGGGCCUUCACAUUUGUCAUUUCCUGUCCUAUGAUGCUCUUCCUGCAGAUAUCUACAGCAGCUCCCCGCUGCUCCUUUUGCAGGUUUUUGUUCAGAUGUCAUCUUCCUGGUGAGCUCUUCCCUGAACAACUCCUCACCCCCUCCACCUUGCCCCUGGGACUCCCUUUGACCUUUCUCGGAUUGUUUUCCCUGUAACUCUUGCCACCACCUCAUACAGGGCUUCUCAAGCUUGGCAUGAUUGGCAUUUUGGGACAGUUCUUUGUUGCGGGCUAUUAUCCUGUGCCUUGCAGGAUGUUUAGCAGCAUCACCACCCUCGACCCACUCAAUACCUGCAACUUUCCUCCCUAGGUUGUGACAGCCAGAAAUGUCUCCAGACACUGCCAAAUGUCUCCUGGGGGACAAAACCACCCCUGGUUGAGAAUCUUUGAUAUAAUGUAAAUAUGCAUUUUACCUAUGUAUUUGUUUAUUGUUCCUCCCUUCCCCACCAAUAAAAUAUAAUCUCCAUGAGAACAGGAAUUUUUGUGUCUAUUUUCCACUGAUGUAAUGCAGGCACUCUGAAUAGGGUAUGAUGCAUAGUAGGUGCUCAAACAGAUAUUUCACUGGUGAAUAAAUGAAAUGUGCUCUGACCUUGUUCCUCUGUGCUCAUUAAGCUCUAGCCACACUGACCUUUCUUCCACCUCUCAGACAUCUGAAGCUCCUUCUCACCUUUCAGUCUUUUUCUUUCAGAUCUCACUCCUGGAAAGCUCUAUUCGCAGGUCUCUGUUUACUUGUUACUCAGGUCCAAUAACACCUGCUUAGAGAGGCUUCCCUGAUCACCGUAUCCUACAUGACCCUCCCUGCCAGCCAGAGUCACUGUCUAUAUUGUUACUGUGUUUUAGUUUCUGCAUUACAUUUGUCUUGGAAAUUAUCUUGUUUACGUGGCAGGUGUACAUCUUGCUCCCUUAAAUGAAUGCUCCUUGACCACUCCACAUUAUCUGCUUUGUUUAUUAACGGCAGUAAUCUAAAACAGUAGUCUAAAACAGUGCAAGGCCCAUCGUUGAUGGGCUGAUUAAAUAAGUAUGCCUGUCUUUUAAUCAAUUCAGGGUGGAAGAGAGUCUCUAUAGAAAGGGUUUAAGGGCUGUGUCUGUCAAGGUCCAGUAGCAAAAAAAAAGAAAAAAGAAAAAAAAAGAGUCUGCUCUAGCUAAUUUGAACAGAAAGGGAUUAAUUAGAGAAUGUGGUUCACCAUCGAGAAGGCUGCAGCAACAUCCUCCACAGUGAGCUUUCAGGAACCACCUUGGAAACCACACACUGACUGGGCCACCAAGGUAGAGACUGCUCUUCUUUGAUUGGGAGAACUACAGCCAAGCUGGGACACUGAGGGGUCAGCUGCUGGGUCUGGGACCAAAUGACCACUUCUGGGAAGAUCACACCUGCAUGAAAAGGAGGUCAGCACUACUGGGAACUGACAAGAUCAAGAG